GUCUUCUCUUUGGCCACAAACCCUUCUAUGACGCAAUAUAUUACAGUGGUUAGCAUCACACAGGCUUUGAAGUCCGACUGCCUUGAUUCAAACCAAACCUGCAUUCUUGCUCCACUCCUUAUUAACUCUGUGAACUUAGGCUAAUUGAUUAAACUUUCUGUGCUUCAGUUUCGUCAUCAGAAACACAGGGGUAAUAAUGGGCUUAAUUAUGGGGUUGUUGUGAAGAUUAAUGGAAUCAAUAUAAGCACAGUGCUUGGAAUGGUGCCUAGAACAUGGCUUCUUUAGUCCACUUAACAACAUCUAUAAUAAAAUAAAUUUCCUCUUCUGAGAAGAAGGCACUAUAUCACGAGAUACUUCGGUGGAGAAUUUUCGCUCACUGGGACCUCAUGAGAAAGUUGUAAAAAGCCCCCAGCAGAGACAGGAGUAGCAGACUCAAAUUCUACAGAAGUUAUGCAGAGCGUGAGGCAGCUCUGGAGGGAGAUGCGUUGUAAGCGAAUAUUAUACCUGCGUAAUUAUGCUGCCGUACAAAGCACCGUAUAUGCCAAAUAAAGUCACCCAACAAUA
Long non-coding RNA from Callorhinus ursinus (northern fur seal), 564 nucleotides. RefSeq lists it as uncharacterized. The record is from RefSeq and is a predicted model, not a curated record. NCBI's taxonomy places the organism in Eukaryota, Metazoa, Chordata, Mammalia, Carnivora, Otariidae.